UACUAUAGUUUUUAUUUGCACUAUUUUUAUUAUUGUAUUUUUAUUUUUAUUUUUUCCUACAAAUAGUUUGAUCUGCAGUACUUUGAAUCUGAGGAUGCUGAACCCAUGGAUAAGGAGGCUGUAAUUUUCUUGGAUAAAUGCCCUGCAUCAGAAGAGUGUGUUAAACAGAAGCUCAGCUCCUUCAAGGAUAACAGUCUUGGCUACCCCACCAGUUACUCAAACAGAUCGAGAUGCAUGGAAUGGCAGAAACCUUCCGGUCUUCACUAAAGGAGCACACGGUGUAGGGAUACAGGUGAGAAGUUCUGAGCAGCGAUGAAGGGCUGGGGAAAGCCUAGAUUCUCUUCUCUCUUUAGACU
RNAcentral lists this long non-coding RNA (356 nucleotides) under Aotus nancymaae (Ma's night monkey). RNAcentral describes it as "lncRNA (ENSANAG00000039432.1)". Lineage: Eukaryota; Metazoa; Chordata; Mammalia; Primates; Aotidae. The record is from RNAcentral.